UUAAGCGACUAAGCGUACACGGUGGAUGCCCUGGCAGUCAGAGGCGAUGAAGGACGUGCUAAUCUGCGAUAAGCGUCGGUAAGGUGAUAUGAACCGUUAUAACCGGCGAUUUCCGAAUGGGGAAACCCAGUGUGUUUCGACACACUAUCAUUAACUGAAUCCAUAGGUUAAUGAGGCGAACCGGGGGAACUGAAACAUCUAAGUACCCCGAGGAAAAGAAAUCAACCGAGAUUCCCCCAGUAGCGGCGAGCGAACGGGGAGCAGCCCAGAGCCUGAAUCAGUGUGUGUGUUAGUGGAAGCGUCUGGAAAGGCGUGCGAUACAGGGUGACAGCCCCGUACACAAAAAUGCACAUGCUGUGAGCUCGAUGAGUAGGGCGGGACACGUGGUAUCCUGUCUGAAUAUGGGGGGACCAUCCUCCAAGGCUAAAUACUCCUGACUGACCGAUAGUGAACCAGUACCGUGAGGGAAAGGCGAAAAGAACCCCGGCGAGGGGAGUGAAAAAGAACCUGAAACCGUGUACGUACAAGCAGUGGGAGCACGCUUAGGCGUGUGACUGCGUACCUUUUGUAUAAUGGGUCAGCGACUUAUAUUCUGUAGCAAGGUUAACCGAAUAGGGGAGCCGAAGGGAAACCGAGUCUUAACUGGGCGUUAAGUUGCAGGGUAUAGACCCGAAACCCGGUGAUCUAGCCAUGGGCAGGUUGAAGGUUGGGUAACACUAACUGGAGGACCGAACCGACUAAUGUUGAAAAAUUAGCGGAUGACUUGUGGCUGGGGGUGAAAGGCCAAUCAAACCGGGAGAUAGCUGGUUCUCCCCGAAAGCUAUUUAGGUAGCGCCUCGUGAAUUCAUCUCCGGGGGUAGAGCACUGUUUCGGCAAGGGGGUCAUCCCGACUUACCAACCCGAUGCAAACUGCGAAUACCGGAGAAUGUUAUCACGGGAGACACACGGCGGGUGCUAACGUCCGUCGUGAAGAGGGAAACAACCCAGACCGCCAGCUAAGGUCCCAAAGUCAUGGUUAAGUGGGAAACGAUGUGGGAAGGCCCAGACAGCCAGGAUGUUGGCUUAGAAGCAGCCAUCAUUUAAAGAAAGCGUAAUAGCUCACUGGUCGAGUCGGCCUGCGCGGAAGAUGUAACGGGGCUAAACCAUGCACCGAAGCUGCGGCAGCGACACUAUGUGUUGUUGGGUAGGGGAGCGUUCUGUAAGCCUGUGAAGGUGUGCUGUGAGGCAUGCUGGAGGUAUCAGAAGUGCGAAUGCUGACAUAAGUAACGAUAAAGCGGGUGAAAAGCCCGCUCGCCGGAAGACCAAGGGUUCCUGUCCAACGUUAAUCGGGGCAGGGUGAGUCGACCCCUAAGGCGAGGCCGAAAGGCGUAGUCGAUGGGAAACAGGUUAAUAUUCCUGUACUUGGUGUUACUGCGAAGGGGGGACGGAGAAGGCUAUGUUGGCCGGGCGACGGUUGUCCCGGUUUAAGCGUGUAGGCUGGUUUUCCAGGCAAAUCCGGAAAAUCAAGGCUGAGGCGUGAUGACGAGGCACUACGGUGCUGAAGCAACAAAUGCCCUGCUUCCAGGAAAAGCCUCUAAGCAUCAGGUAACAUCAAAUCGUACCCCAAACCGACACAGGUGGUCAGGUAGAGAAUACCAAGGCGCUUGAGAGAACUCGGGUGAAGGAACUAGGCAAAAUGGUGCCGUAACUUCGGGAGAAGGCACGCUGAUAUGUAGGUGAAGCGACUUGCUCGUGGAGCUGAAAUCAGUCGAAGAUACCAGCUGGCUGCAACUGUUUAUUAAAAACACAGCACUGUGCAAACACGAAAGUGGACGUAUACGGUGUGACGCCUGCCCGGUGCCGGAAGGUUAAUUGAUGGGGUUAGCCGCAAGGCGAAGCUCUUGAUCGAAGCCCCGGUAAACGGCGGCCGUAACUAUAACGGUCCUAAGGUAGCGAAAUUCCUUGUCGGGUAAGUUCCGACCUGCACGAAUGGCGUAAUGAUGGCCAGGCUGUCUCCACCCGAGACUCAGUGAAAUUGAACUCGCUGUGAAGAUGCAGUGUACCCGCGGCAAGACGGAAAGACCCCGUGAACCUUUACUAUAGCUUGACACUGAACAUUGAGCCUUGAUGUGUAGGAUAGGUGGGAGGCUUUGAAGUGUGGACGCCAGUCUGCAUGGAGCCGACCUUGAAAUACCACCCUUUAAUGUUUGAUGUUCUAACGUUGACCCGUAAUCCGGGUUGCGGACAGUGUCUGGUGGGUAGUUUGACUGGGCGGUCUCCUCCUAAAGAGUAACGGAGGAGCACGAAGGUUGGCUAAUCCUGGUCGGACAUCAGGAGGUUAGUGCAAUGGCAUAAGCCAGCUUGACUGCGAGCGUGACGGCGCGAGCAGGUGCGAAAGCAGGUCAUAGUGAUCCGGUGGUUCUGAAUGGAAGGGCCAUCGCUCAACGGAUAAAAGGUACUCCGGGGAUAACAGGCUGAUACCGCCCAAGAGUUCAUAUCGACGGCGGUGUUUGGCACCUCGAUGUCGGCUCAUCACAUCCUGGGGCUGAAGUAGGUCCCAAGGGUAUGGCUGUUCGCCAUUUAAAGUGGUACGCGAGCUGGGUUUAGAACGUCGUGAGACAGUUCGGUCCCUAUCUGCCGUGGGCGCUGGAGAACUGAGGGGGCUGCUCCUAGUACGAGAGGACCGGAGUGGACGCAUCACUGGUGUUCGGGUUGUCAUGCCAAUGGCACUGCCCGGUAGCUAAAUGCGGAAGAGAUAAGUGCUGAAAGCAUCUAAGCACGAAACUUGCCCCGAGAUGAGUUCUCCCUGACUCCUUGAGAGUCCUGAAGGAACGUUGAAGACGACGACGUUGAUAGGCCGGGUGUGUAAGCGCAGCGAUGCGUUGAGCUAACCGGUACUAAUGAACCGUGAGGCUUAACCUU
This 2901-nucleotide ribosomal RNA is filed under the name Escherichia coli. RNAcentral describes it as "bacterial LSU rRNA". It matches the Rfam family "Bacterial large subunit ribosomal RNA". The record is from RNAcentral. Lineage: Bacteria; Pseudomonadati; Pseudomonadota; Gammaproteobacteria; Enterobacterales; Enterobacteriaceae.